UUGCUUCUGUGGUACAUAUACUAAAACUGAAACAGUACAGAGAAGAUUAGCAUGGCCCCUGCACAAGGAUGACAUAGGUAUUCAUGAAGCACAAUCCAUGGAA
RNAcentral lists this small nuclear RNA (103 nucleotides) under Carlito syrichta (Philippine tarsier). Lineage: Eukaryota; Metazoa; Chordata; Mammalia; Primates; Tarsiidae. The record is from RNAcentral.